RNAcentral lists this transfer RNA (63 nucleotides) under Bathymodiolus brooksi. Its description in RNAcentral is "tRNA-His". The record is from RNAcentral. Lineage: Eukaryota; Metazoa; Mollusca; Bivalvia; Mytilida; Modiolidae.
UUAAAGUUAGUUUAUUAAAACAUUAGUUUGUGGCACUAAAAAUGCCUUUAAAGGUACUUUAAU